Molecule: ribosomal RNA, 387 nt
Filed under: uncultured bacterium
Lineage: Bacteria
Description: bacterial SSU rRNA
Rfam family: Bacterial small subunit ribosomal RNA
Source: RNAcentral
GACGAACGCUGGCGGCGUGCUUAACACAUGCAAGUCGAGCGGUAAGGCCCCUUCGGGGGUACACGAGCGGCGAACGGGUGAGUAACACGUGGGUGACCUGCCCUCAGCUCUGGGAUAAGCCUGGGAAACUGGGUCUAAUACCGGAUAUGACUCCAUGACGCAUGUCGUGGGGUGGAAAGCCUUGUGCGGCUGGGGAUGGGCCCGCGGCCUAUCAGCUUGUUGGUGGGGUGAUGGCCUACCAAGGCGACGACGGGUAGCCGGCCUGAGAGGGCGACCGGCCACACUGGGACUGAGACACGGCCCAGACUCCUACGGGAGGCAGCAGUGGGGAAUCUUGCGCAAUGGGCGAAAGCCUGACGCAGCGACGCCGCGUGAGGGAUGACGCCU